This 71-nucleotide transfer RNA is filed under the name Funaria hygrometrica. Its description in RNAcentral is "tRNA-Ile". It matches the Rfam family "tRNA". From Rfam's summary of the family: Transfer RNA (tRNA) molecules are approximately 80 nucleotides in length. Their secondary structure includes four short double-helical elements and three loops (D, anti-codon, and T loops). The record is from RNAcentral. Lineage: Eukaryota; Viridiplantae; Streptophyta; Bryopsida; Funariales; Funariaceae.
GGAGAAAUGGCGGAACAGUUAAUUUAAUUAUAUUUAUUAUGUUAACGGAGGUUCAAAUCCUCCUUUCUCCA